ACUUUCUGUCUUUUAACCACACUGUAGCUAAAUACUGAAUCAUGGAUAAGAGAACGUUCUCACCUGUUCGGGUGCAUGGACACUGGGAAUCUGGAGGGGAAUUUUCUGCUGGAAAAACUUCCAGCGAAAACCACUCAUCUCCUAAAAACAAGCUCUCAGUGGAGAAAUUUCAGAUUUGGAGAGAGCGUUUUGCUUUACACUAGGAAAAUUAGCAUGAUGGUUCUGUCAUGCCUAGUCAGGUGAAUCUUACCAGCUAUGUUCUUUGCCUACAGGACUUUAUCGAAGGCUCUCUGUGUGGCACCAAGUGCUUCAGCUUUCCACCAUCUUGACCCUUCUCCUGCUUGCUUCUCUCUGGUAUCCAGGCAAACAGGGUGUUGGGAGAGCUACCCCAAAACUUUCUAAGUCUAUACAUGAAGUACAAAAUCAAAACAAGAGUAGAAACUGGAACUGGAAAACAUCAGAAAAUCAGUAGUGUAUCGCUUCCUGGCCUAUGCAUCAUUGAUGUGGUAGCAGUCUUUUGGAGUUGUGCUGCAAGAGACUGGCAGCAACUGAAAAAUGGGAAUCAGCAGCAAUUCAAAGAUGGUCCCUUCUGAAUAGUAUCUUGCCGCUGGCAUAACUGCAACAUGUAUUGCUGAGCUACGUUUUUGUUGCUGCAAUCCCACAGCUGGAAGGAAAGCAACUCACUACCAAAAGUUUCCUGCCACUAUUGUAUGUCUUCUUUUCUUUGGAAAGAUAAUAUUAAUAGAGAGCGUUACUUGGUUUCUUGUUUCUGGCACUUCAUCAGCCCCAGGAGGUUGGUUUUUCUUCCCCAGUGAUGAAGGUGUUAUAUUUCUAGGAAUCCCUUCUCCUUCACUUUUCUAUCACCCUCUGCAUGCCUAGCUCUGAAGCAGCGUGCCAGAGCCACAUACUUCCAGCCAAAAGGAUUAAAAAAGGAUGUGCAUUUUUAUGUUCAGCCUGGAUUUUGAGCAUAACCUCGAGGACUAUGUGUGGGACUGUAAGUGUAUCCUCAUGCACACUUGGCUGCAUUUCCUGGUGCCCCUGGACAUAGCCCAAGUAAAGUGGCUUCUAGGGACAGGCGGGCUGCAGGGUGCAGUGCUGGCACCACACACCCACUACUGCACCCAAAACCUUCGCUCAGAAAAGUGGAGUCUGCAAGAUCCCUUCAUGGCUCACAAAAUGCAGUGUGUUCAUGAUUAAAGUUGUGAGGCCAGAUGUGGCUACGUACGGCAAGAUCUCCAGAACUCUAGACUUUUUAGGCUUACUUUCAUUAGCAGGCUCUGAAAAAACAGAACUGAACAGUUAUGUCCAAUGGCUGCUCUAUCUUUUAUGCAAUAUAGGACACAGCAAUUGAGAAGAAAAGGAGGGAAACAAAGUCUGUCAUUAAUGGCAGAAUCUUUAUUUGCAGAUAACUUCACCCAGUGGUAUUCUGGAGGCUAGAAAGGAACACAAAACAGAAAGCAACAACUGUGACAAGUGUUUGCCGUAAUCUUGCAAAAAUGGUGUUGGAAAGGGAAUCCCAUUAUAAAAGAGUGAAAGGUGGAUGCAAGAUUGAUUUCUUUGGAGUUCAGUUCACUGUCAACACAGCAUCGGAGUUUCACCGAAAGCAGAAAAAACCCAAUGUUGUUUCAAGGCCUGGCCAGGAUCUUUAGGGCUCCAGAGAGCUGACCCAUGUGUCUGCAACCAGGUUCAUGAUAGUGAGGUGCCUCACUCCUGGCCCUCUGCCCAGAAGUCCACGUUGCCCAGAUGACUGCAGGGUAUUGUGGGCUAUUCUGGUAUGGAUUUUUCAUAGUUGUUUGCUUCCAGCGAGGACAAGUCUUUGUAAUUUCUUAAGGAAUUGAUAAAUAUCUUUUAAACACACUUCCACUAGCAGCUCCUGACACUGGGAACCACUAGGAAUCAUCAGAGGCUUUGGUCAAAAUGGGAAGAAGUAUGACAACAAAAAACAACAGGGUUAAAGGUACACACAGUUAUACUAGCAAGGCCCUUGAAAUCACACAAAUGGAGAAAAACCCCACAUGAACAAAACUGUGGUUCUAAAAUCCCUCCCAUGUGCAAAGGUUGGCUCUCAACUGUUAAAGUCAGUAUAACAGAUUCUCAGGAUCAAGCCACUGAAAGCAAAGACUAAUGCAGUGAUAUGUUUAAAAUAAUUGAAAUAUGCUUAAAUAAUGGAUGCUCCAGCCUGUGUAUUGCACUCGAUCAGCGUAUUUUUCCUCUUUUUCACUUCAGUAAGCCAGACUGCUGUCUCUUGAGAGUCAAAUAAUUUAGACUGUGUCUAGGAGAGGUGAGAUCUAAGAGAAAUAGCUAUCAUCAGCAUGAUAGAGCCUGAGACAAUGUGAUGUGGCACAUUAGAGUUGGGGAGCUUCAAGAUCGCAGUCUGGUUAUUAGUUUAGAGAUUCAUUCUAUCUGUGCUACCAUAAAAAAAGAAAAUUCUAUAAAUAUGUGGCAGAAAGGGUGCAAUUUUUUCUUCAUAUAAUACCUGUUUUAUGCUCUAGUGGAGCCAACUGGAGAUACUGAAGUAUCAAUGCACCAUUACAAUGCUGUUUUUAAAAAGUAUUUCCACAGAGUCUGAAAUUGUAUAUGCCUGUAAUUAUCAUCAAAAUCUGUAAGUGAAUAUUAAUGCCCUGCUUCUUGCAAACUGCAGCUGAAAACCAAGAGCUAUUCUUUGAAUUGCUAAUAUAAGGUGCUCUCAAAAAAUCAGGCUGCAGAGGUUUCAGGCUCGACUUUCCAAAACAGUGGAAGGGUUUUCCCUGAGUUCUCUGCAUCUCAGUUGCUCUUUGGUCAAAUGGGAAGGACACCAUCUCCCCAUCUCACAGGAACAAUGUGUCAGUGAAUUCACUCAGUCUCCUGAAGCACAUGUAUCAGGGAACACAGAAGGAGUCACAGAGAACACAGAGUAUAUUGUGCAAGCUGGGCUGAGAUAAUGACCAGUAAACAAGGCAAGAGGCUUCCUACAGAACAGCAGGAUGACAAAGAAGGAAACAGCUGCUUGGGAAGUAACUCUGUCCCUCCUGGGCGCAGACUGAUACACUAGGACCAGUGGGGAAAAAAACAAUCUCUUUAAGACUUACAUCACACUGCAGAUUCACAAAAAGCACAAGUCUAUGUUUAACAGCUGCAGAAACAUGCACUCCUAGGAUAUCUUUACUUUUGAGACAGUAAUUUUGUAACCUUACCAAAGUACCAUUAACAAUUUGGUUAACAUUACUGAAAACCUUUGUCUUAUUCACGCAGGCAAAAACUGCAGUCGUCUUAAACUACAAAAAUUUGCCUGAUUGAAACAAACUUUAAAUUUUCAGCUGUGUUUAUCCUGUUAGUCCAAAAAUGAGCAUUUUCUCCUGUUAGAAAGAUGCUCAAAGCUUUGCACUGAAAAAGUUGUGCACUGUCUUUUGCUGCUUUGUCAGUAUUAAUGUAAGUGCAUGAAAACUUUGGAUCGUUCUAAAGGAAAAUGUGAUAAAACACAUUGAAAAUUUAUUUAGCCAGUUCCCAGCCCUUAUCUGUAUGCUUCCCCACGGUGAGUGACUAAGAAUCCCUUUUCUGUCUUGCAUCAAGGACCAGUGGAAAUUACGUUUUACAAAGAAGAGGAGAACGGCAACUGUGUGUGGCACUACAACAGGAGAUGUCUAUUAUGUAUAGCUGUGUUCCGUUAUUUGUGACGCUACCCAAGCCUGACCAAACCACCUCAGUCUCAUAUUCAUUGACAAAGGACUCAGUAAUAAAAACUCACAAAACACACCAUUUCUUUUCUUGCUUUUGCUGAUUAAUGGCAUGAAAAGGAAUAUCCUUAUUAGAUAUUCUUACAAAUGGCCUAUUGAACUGUAGGGAGGGAACCAUUCACACAGAGAACUUGGCCUAAUGUUCAGUGCUUCCUGUGCUCUCUCAAUGAGCUUCAGAGAGAAUAAAGCAUUUUGUGGUGCCACAGAGGCCAAUGUUCAAAGUAAAAACAUAAAAUAAGCUUUGUCUACAGGGAGAUGCAGGCAAGUUCCUAACUCUACAUGGAAUCUGCAGAUCUUCUCUAUUAUUUUUUUUUGUCUUUAACUAGAAAGGCUUUCAAAGGGGAAAGAAGUGAGUGAGGUAGCACCCCUUCUUCCUGGAGUCACUUGGUCUACAGAGAGCUUAAGUUCAAAUGUCCUCCUCGCAACACGCAUAUCCCAGGAGUGCAUCCUGGCCAGUGAGAUAAGCUCAUGUGAUGUUUUCUCAAACUCUUUUGCUAACGCUUAUUUAAAAUUUCACUGGAUAAAAUGGAGAGUCAGAGCUAGAAUGAUGCAGAAGCCUUCACGCUGCACCUGCAGGAGGCAUGUGGGCUCUCUUUUCUCAAGACAAGGAACUUCAGUCAUAUCAUAUGUAGCAAAAAACCCACCAAACUUCAAAAGAUGGCAAUGAGAGUAUUCCCAUGAAAGGAUAGCCUCCUGCACACUGAUGAGAGCUUUGCAAUGCAGGUUAGAAAUGUUGGUUCAACUUCCUUUGACUAGUCUUCAGACUGCAUCAUAAGAAAAGUCAGAGAAGGGAUCCAUCACCGGUGCUGCUUCUUCUCUGGUUUCCAGCAUAUUAAAAAGCCAGUAAGAAAAAUGCUCCAUUUCUGGUAGAAAGCAUUUUUUCCUUUUGUUGGCCCACAGUUCCUUUGCUGUCCUGGCAUACGCUAAAAGGCCAGGACUGUCCUUCUACUUCAGUUCCUGGAUCCCUCCAUGAUUUUGUCUAACAUCUGCGGCAUUUCUAUGCCUCAGUUUCUCCUUGUAAAACACUGUCUUGAGCUAUCAGUAGCUGCAAAAGAAGAAGAAAAGAAUGAGGAUACAGGAAGUUGGGAGAGUUGGCAGGGCUGUAAUUCUGGAAGUUUUAUUUCAAAGCUUUAUUUAUAUUUCAGAGCUUUAUUUAUAUUUUUAAAAAACUUACCAGUCUGUCCAACUCAUUGAUAGCCCAAAGGAAUACUCUGAAAAAUUGAGAUAUUUUCAUGUGAAAUAUAAACUGUGAGGCCAGUUGGAAGGAGGUAUUGUUGUGUAUUCUUAACUAAAGACAAAGAAGGGAGAAAGAAAACACUGCUGAUAGACUUAGCAAACAAUUAGCUAUAAGGACACUUAGAGUAGUAAGUUAUAUUGUUUGCAGUGGCCUAGGUACAUUUUCUUCCACUGGAAGUAGAACCAUUUUUUAAAAUUCACCCUUACUCCAGCCAGAAGCAGUUGUGGUUUGUAAGACUGGAAAAGCUAAUUUUGGAAGAAAGAACUGUGAGUCUUCGGCAUGAAGCCAGUUACAAUUUGGAAAGCAGAGGCUGAAUUAUGGAGGAAGUGGGUUUUUCUACUGUUAUUUUUUUCAUUUAAUCUCCAAUGUUAAGAGUUGGAUGAGGGCAGCUACCACUCAAAAAUGUCCCUGAAAAGAUGAACAGGACUGCUACAUACACUUUUUUGCAUGUUGAUGUCAGCUUCCUCUGCUAAGUUGCUACUUUGCAGCUUCAUCAUAAACUUUCACACUGGGUUAGAUUUUGGCUUGAGUCAGAGGAAGAUGAACCAGGUACUACUGAAAAGGAAGAUUCAUCAACAUCAUAAUGGGAAGCUAAUGCUGCUGGUGGUUCAAAAACCAGGGCAGGGGAAAGAAGAGGAAGGGAAAUACUAUUAGCAAAAGACAUUUGCUGUUCUUCAUUUCUUCUGAGACCUGUUCCUUGGAAUUGCAGUUCCCCAAAGAAAUCAGUUAAUCACUCUUUAUCAUUGUCAAUAAGACCAGUUUCAGUGAUUUCCUUACUGUCUAGAUAUCAAAAGCCUUGUGGGGUUUUUGGAUACCAGUUGUUACCUGGAGCCAGGUUUUGCUUAUAAAGUGAAUUAAAUGAUAAUGCCAGAUUCAAAGGCUGAAUACAGAUGGAUUUGUAUAUCCGUCAGUUGGACCCAUCCAUAACAAAUGUUAGUAGAGCAGACCUCUUUUUUCCCCAAGUGAAGCAUUCACCUGUGUUAAGCUCAGUCUAGCUACAUCUCUGCUGUUCUUGGAUAGCAUAAAAAAAAAGCUCUUAUUAAAAAAAAAACAUUGCUUCCCUUGUCAAUAUACAUUCAUUACAGUGCUUGCACAGAACUCUGAUUGUGUGCCUUUUGCUUUUUAUGUGCUCUCUGAGGAGUUAGGAUUAGUGUUAACAUGACAUCUCAGCUAGCUUGGUUGCCAGUCCCUUAUUACAGGUUCUAUGCUCCACCUGAGACAAGACUGCAUGUCUUAUUAACCGCUGGCCUUGUGGUGCAUGCCAGGAAAGUCAUAACUUUUGUAUUUAUGAAACCAAGAACAAUAUCAUUAUCUUGUCCUGGAGUUCUCUCGUAACAAGAUUUUGCUGUACAAAAUUCUGUUAUUUCCUCCCUCCAUCACUCUUCCAAAACCUUACCAAGCAGGCCACUAAAGUGAUUUGUACAAAGACUUACUAACGGCUGUUUCCUUGCUAUGAUUUUCUCUUUAGGGCUGUGGAGUGCAAUAACUUUCUGUAAAAGAAAAGCAAA
This is a long non-coding RNA of Strigops habroptila (Kakapo), 6458 nucleotides long. RefSeq lists it as uncharacterized. NCBI's taxonomy places the organism in Eukaryota, Metazoa, Chordata, Aves, Psittaciformes, Psittacidae. The transcript has 4 exons. The record is from RefSeq and is a predicted model, not a curated record.